RNAcentral lists this ribosomal RNA (491 nucleotides) under uncultured bacterium. RNAcentral describes it as "partial 16S ribosomal RNA". It matches the Rfam family "Bacterial small subunit ribosomal RNA", at positions 29 to 506 of the family's 1533-position model. The record is from RNAcentral.
AGUGAACGCUGGCGGUAGGCCUAACACAUGCAAGUCGAACGGCAGCACAGUAAGAGCUUGCUCUUACGGGUGGCGAGUGGCGGACGGGUGAGGAAUACAUCGGAAUCUACUUUUUCGUGGGGGAUAACGUAGGGAAACUUACGCUAAUACCGCAUACGACCUACGGGUGAAAGCAGGGGAUCUUCGGACCUUGCGCGAUUGAAUGAGCCGAUGUCGGAUUAGCUAGUUGGCGGGGUAAAGGCCCACCAAGGCGACGAUCCGUAGCUGGUCUGAGAGGAUGAUCGGCCACACUGGAACUGAGACACGGUCCAGACUCCUACGGGAGGCAGAAGUGGGGAAUAUUGGACAAUGGGCGCAAGCCUGAUCCAGCCAUACCGCGUGGGUGAAGAAGGCCUUCGGGUUGUAAAGCCCUUUUGUUGGGAAAGAAAAGCAGCAGGUUAAUACCCCGCUGUUCUGACGGUACCCAAAGAAUAAGCACCGGCGAACUUCGU